RNAcentral lists this ribosomal RNA (424 nucleotides) under uncultured bacterium. RNAcentral describes it as "bacterial SSU rRNA". It matches the Rfam family "Bacterial small subunit ribosomal RNA", at positions 1 to 444 of the family's 1533-position model. The record is from RNAcentral.
AGGGGGGGUUUGAUCNUGGNUCAGAACGAANGCUGGCGGGAUGCCUAACACAUGCAAGUCGAACGUGAAGCCACCCUUCGGGGUGGUGGAAAGUGGCGCACGGGUGAGUAACGCGUGGGAACCUGCCCAACGGUACGGAAUAACCGCGGGAAACUGCGGCUAAUACCGUAUACGCCCCAUGGGGGAAAGAUUUAUCGCCGAUGGAGGGGCCCGCGUCGGAUUAGGUUGUUGGUAGGGUAACGGCCUACCAAGCCGACGAUCCGUAGUUGGUCUGAGAGGAUGAUCAGCCACACUGGGACUGAGACACGGCCCAGACUCCUACGGGAGGCAGCAGUGGGGAAUAUUGGACAAUGGGCGAAAGCCUGAUCCAGCAAUGCCGCGUGAGUGAAGAAGGCCUUAGGGUUGUAAAGCUCUUUCACCGGGG